GGUAGAGCGCUGCCCUGAAGAGGCAGGCGUAGCCAGUUCGACUCUGGCCUGGGCCACCA
This 59-nucleotide transfer RNA is filed under the name Candidatus Peribacteria bacterium RIFCSPLOWO2_02_FULL_55_36. Its description in RNAcentral is "tRNA-Ser". It matches the Rfam family "tRNA", at positions 17 to 71 of the family's 71-position model. From Rfam's summary of the family: Transfer RNA (tRNA) molecules are approximately 80 nucleotides in length. The record is from RNAcentral. Lineage: Bacteria; Candidatus Peregrinibacteriota; Candidatus Peribacteria.